AAUACGUAAUACGAAAAAACAAAGGUAUUGGUCAUUGUCAACAUAAAUUGUGAUUUACGUAUUGCUGCUACGGAUUAACGUGCUUACAUGAAGUAAUAAAUGCAAUCAAAGACCCAAAAUACAGUUAGAAUUUACUGAGGUCGUAGUGAAUAUCAGGACAGAAACUUAUACAGUGGUAAAGAUGUAGAAGAUGGAUGACCAAAACAGAGAGAGAAUUCUAGGACAGAAAAGAUGUAGAUGUUGGAUAACCAUCCUGGAACAGAACCGUAGGACAAGAAAGAUGUAGAUGAUGGGUGACCAAGCUGGGACAGAAUGCCAAGACAGGAAAGAUGUAGAAAUGAGUGGACCAGGAAGCAAAGAAUCAUUACACCAAGGUGUGCUCGGUUGUCUUGGACACUCCUAAUGUCCCCUGUGACAGGUCAGCCAGCAGCGACAAAGUCAUUAGUAUCGGGGUGGACACCCACCUUCCAGGCAACGAGAACAGCAGCUCAUCAUCGACGAUGUUUUCUUUUUCUAUUGUGGUGGGCAUCCGCAUACUAUAAGCGCAGCCAAUACACUAGCAGCACCACGUGUCGACGUCACGGGCACAGAGAAGACAUCACCUAUUGGCUGGAGACGCUGUGGCUCUGCUGUUACCACAACAGAAACAUUACAUCAUUGUGAGGCUACAUCAGUACAGUCAGAAAUGUUUACCUGGCAUUUAAAACUGAUUUUUGUUUACAAUAAACAAAUUAUUUGAGCAA
This 743-nucleotide long non-coding RNA is filed under the name Schistocerca americana (American grasshopper). RNAcentral describes it as "uncharacterized LOC124544603, transcript variant X2". The record is from RNAcentral. Lineage: Eukaryota; Metazoa; Arthropoda; Insecta; Orthoptera; Acrididae.